This 73-nucleotide transfer RNA is filed under the name Paramuricea clavata. It matches the Rfam family "tRNA". Rfam says of the family: Transfer RNA (tRNA) molecules are approximately 80 nucleotides in length. Their secondary structure includes four short double-helical elements and three loops (D, anti-codon, and T loops). The record is from Rfam by way of RNAcentral. Lineage: Eukaryota; Metazoa; Cnidaria; Anthozoa; Malacalcyonacea; Plexauridae.
GACCACGUAGCUCAGUUGGACGAGCAUUGGGCUAGAAUUCCAAAGGUCGUAGGUUCGAAUCCCACCGUGGCCG